GUGGGGAAUCUUGCGCAAUGGGCGAAAGCCUGACGCAGCAACGCCGCGUGGAGGAUGAAGGCCCUUGGGUUGUAAACUCCUGUCGGCUGGGAAGAAAUCGUUCGUGGCUCAUACCCACGGACGUUGACUGUACCAGCAAAGGAAGCCCCGGCUAACUCUGUGCCAGCAGCCGCGGUAAUACAGAGGGGGCUAGCGUUAUUCGGAAUUAUUGGGCGUAAAGGGCGCGUAGGCGGCCAUGCGUGUCUUCCGUGAAAUCCCUCGGCUUAACUGAGGACGUGCGGAAGAAACUGCAAGGCUCGAGUCCGGGAGAGGGGGGUGGAAUUCCCAGUGUAGCGGUGAAAUGCGUAGAUAUUGGGAGGAACACCGGUGGCGAAGGCGGCCCCCUGGACCGGUACUGACGCUGAGGCGCGAAAGCGUGGGUAGCAAACGGGAUUAGAUACCCGAGUAGUCC
Molecule: ribosomal RNA, 451 nt
Filed under: uncultured bacterium
Lineage: Bacteria
Description: bacterial SSU rRNA
Rfam family: Bacterial small subunit ribosomal RNA
Source: RNAcentral